This 330-nucleotide ribosomal RNA is filed under the name Triticum aestivum (bread wheat). RNAcentral describes it as "partial small subunit ribosomal RNA". The record is from RNAcentral. Lineage: Eukaryota; Viridiplantae; Streptophyta; Magnoliopsida; Poales; Poaceae.
AUGCACCAAUCAUAUGACCGGAGAGAGGAGAUGCUUGUGGAGUUUGUUGAUUCGCUCAAGGCCUCUUUGAACAUCCCCUUUGGUGACAAUAGCAAGGGAAAGGUAUUGGGAUUGUGCAAGGUGGUAAUCCCUAGUGAUUCAUCACUUUCAAAUGUCAUGCUUGUUCAAUCCUUUCACUACAAUUUACUUUCAACAGUUCAAUUGGCUCGUGCCGGUUAUGAUUCUCAUUUUGGUGAAUUUCAUGUGAUCGUGUUUAAGAGGAGCAAUCCCAAAGUGGUCUUUGUUGGGCAUGUUGAAGACAACCUUUAUGUGGUUGAUUUCUCAAAAUAG